AGCUUGUCCUUGGGAAAACAUUAAUUUAUGUCGGCGAAGUGGUUUCCCCUCCAACGCUGACCUAUAUCAAGAUCAACUCAACAAGAUCUGCAAAAUUUAUUAUAGACAUAUGCAUCAACAACCGCUCUUUUAAAGUUUUUAUAAAUAGAAAGGAAGAGGGGGUUGGAGAUCUCGAAUGUGGUGAUGUUGGAGAGACCAA
This 199-nucleotide long non-coding RNA is filed under the name Sorghum bicolor (sorghum). RNAcentral's name for it is "long non-coding RNA (SBIC_LNC012528)". The record is from RNAcentral. Lineage: Eukaryota; Viridiplantae; Streptophyta; Magnoliopsida; Poales; Poaceae.